Molecule: ribosomal RNA, 758 nt
Filed under: Ramalina europaea
Lineage: Eukaryota; Fungi; Ascomycota; Lecanoromycetes; Lecanorales; Ramalinaceae
Description: SSU rRNA
Rfam family: Bacterial small subunit ribosomal RNA
Source: RNAcentral
GUAUAGCUACGGCUAAUUGUGUAUAUCUACACGAUAUCGACUCUGUCGAAUAAAAUUCUGGGUAAAUUAUGAUGAUGACAUUUUUUACCUAUGUGUCUUGACCAAAUUGUGUGCCAGCAGUCGCGGUAAUACAUAGAAGACUAGUGUUAUUCAUCUUUAAUAGGUUUAAAGGGUACCUAGACGGUAGAUCAAGCCCUAGACGGGACUAAUUUGCUAGAGUUACUUAUGAGGGGGCUUUAAAGUACUAAUGGUGUAGAGAUAAAAUUUUGUAAUACCAUUUUUCGUAAAGAAAAAUUAUGGCACUGGUAAAGGUGAAAGCAUCCCCCUAUGUGAUAACUGACGUUGAAGGACGAAGGCUUUGGGUCGCGAAUAGGAUUAGAUACCCUAGUAGUCAAAGCAGAAAAUUAUGAGUGUCAUAGAUUAGAUAAUACAGUUUAUUCUAUAAAUGAAAGUGUAAGCACUCCACCUCAAGAGUAAUUUGGCAACAUUGGAACUGAAAUCAUUAGACCGUUUCUGAAACCAGUAGUGAAGUAUGUUGUUUAAUUCGAUGAUCCGCGAAAAACCUUACCACAAUUUGAAUAUGUAUACUUUUGAUAUAUUUACAAGCGUUGCACGGCUGUCUUCAGUUAAUGUCGUGAGACUUUGGUUAGAUCCAUUAAAUUAACGUAAGCCCUUACUUUAUUUUCAUAUAAAGUAGUUCUCCACCAUAUUGGACAAGAUAACAGGGACUAAGACAAGUCAUCAUGGCCUGAAUAUUG